This 495-nucleotide ribosomal RNA is filed under the name uncultured bacterium. RNAcentral's name for it is "partial 16S ribosomal RNA". It matches the Rfam family "Bacterial small subunit ribosomal RNA", at positions 28 to 507 of the family's 1533-position model. The record is from RNAcentral.
GAUGAACGCUGGCGGCGUGCCUAAUACAUGCAAGUCGAACGCUGAAGGAGGCGCUUGCUCUUCUGGAUGAGUUGCGAACGGGUGAGUAACGCGUAGGUAACCUGCCUGGUAGCGGGGGAUAACUCUUGGAAACGAUAGCUAAUACCGCAUGACAACAGUUAUUGCAUGAUAACUGUUUAAAAGGUGCAACUGCUCCACUACCAGAUGGACCUGCGUUGUAUUAGCUAGUUGGUGAGGUAACGGCUCACCAAGGCGACGAUACGUAGCCGACCUGAGAGGGUGAUAGGCCAAACUGGGACUGAGACACGGCCCAGACUCCUGCGGGAGGCAGCAGUAGGGAAUCGUCGGCAAUGGACGGAAGUCUGACCGAGCAACGCCGCGUGAGGGAAGAAGGUUGUCGGAUCGUAAAGCGCGGUUGUAAGAGAAGAACGAGUGUGAGAGUGGAAAGUUCACACUGUGACGGUAGCUGACCAGAAAGGGACGGCUAACUACGUG